Molecule: ribosomal RNA, 460 nt
Filed under: uncultured Anoxybacillus sp.
Lineage: Bacteria; Bacillati; Bacillota; Bacilli; Caryophanales; Anoxybacillaceae
Description: bacterial SSU rRNA
Rfam family: Bacterial small subunit ribosomal RNA
Source: RNAcentral
GCACAAGCGGUGGAGCAUGUGGUUUAAUUCGACGCAACGCGAAGAACCUUACCAGGGCUUGACAUCCCCUGACCGCGUAUGAAAGUACGUUUCACCCUCGGGUGACAGGGAGACAGGUGGUGCAUGGUUGUCGUCAGCUCGUGUCGUGAGAUGUUGGGUUAAGUCCCGCAACGAGCGCAACCCUCGACCUUAGUUGCCAGCAUUCAGUUGGGCACUCUAAGGUGACUGCCGGCUAAAAGUCGGAGGAAGGUGGGGAUGACGUCAAAUCAUCAUGCCCCUUAUGACCUGGGCUACACACGUGCUACAAUGGGCGGUACAAAGGGUCGCGAACCCGCGAGGGGGAGCCAAUCCCAAAAAGCCGCUCUCAGUUCGGAUUGCAGGCUGCAACUCGCCUGCAUGAAGCCGGAAUCGCUAGUAAUCGCGGAUCAGCAUGCCGCGGUCGAAUACGUUCCCGGGCCUU